This 253-nucleotide ribosomal RNA is filed under the name uncultured bacterium. Its description in RNAcentral is "partial 16S ribosomal RNA". It matches the Rfam family "Bacterial small subunit ribosomal RNA", at positions 524 to 776 of the family's 1533-position model. The record is from RNAcentral.
GACAGAGGGGGCAAACGUUGCUCGGAAUCACUGGGCGUAAAGGGCGCGUAGGCGGGAUGGCAAGUCGGUCGUGAAAUCCCUCGGCUCAACUGAGGAUCGUCGAUCGAUACUGCCGUUCUUGAGGAUUGCAGAGGAGACUGGAAUUCCCGGUGUAGCGGUGAAAUGUGUAGAGAUCGGGAGGAACACCGGUGGCGAAGGCGGGUCUCUGGGCAAUUCCUGACGCUGAGGCGCGAAAGCGUGGGGAGCAAACGGG